Molecule: ribosomal RNA, 2861 nt
Filed under: Drosophila melanogaster (fruit fly)
Lineage: Eukaryota; Metazoa; Arthropoda; Insecta; Diptera; Drosophilidae
Description: eukaryotic LSU rRNA
Rfam family: Eukaryotic large subunit ribosomal RNA
Source: RNAcentral
AGAACUCUGAAUAGAGAGUUAAACAGUACGUGAAACUGCCUUAGAGGUUAAGCCCGAUGAACCUGAAUAUCCGUUAUGGAAAAUUCAUCAUUAAAUUGUAAUAUUUAAAUAAUAUUAUGAGAAUAGUGUGCAUUUUUUCCAUAUAAGGACAUUGUAAUCUAUUAGCAUAUACCAAAUUUAUCAUAAAAUAUAACUUAUAGUUUAUUCCAAUUAAAUUGCUUGCAUUUUAACACAGAAUAAAUGUUAUUAAUUUGAUAAAGUGCUGAUAGAUUUAUAUGAUUACAGUGCGUUAAUUUUUCGGAAUUAUAUAAUGGCAUAAUUAUCAUUGAUUUUUGUGUUUAUUAUAUGCACUUGUAUGAUUAACAAUGCGAAAGAUUCAGAUACCUUCGGGACCCGUCUUGAAACACGGACCAAGGAGUCUAACAUAUGUGCAAGUUAUUGGGAUAUAAACCUAAUAGCGUAAUUAACUUGACUAAUAAUGGGAUUAGUUUUUUAGCUAUUUAUAGCUAAUUAACACAAUCCCGGGGCGUUCUAUAUAGUUAUGUAUAAUGUAUAUUUAUAUUAUUUAUGCCUCUAACUGGAACGUACCUUGAGCAUAUAUGCUGUGACCCGAAAGAUGGUGAACUAUACUUGAUCAGGUUGAAGUCAGGGGAAACCCUGAUGGAAGACCGAAACAGUUCUGACGUGCAAAUCGAUUGUCAGAAUUGAGUAUAGGGGCGAAAGACCAAUCGAACCAUCUAGUAGCUGGUUCCUUCCGAAGUUUCCCUCAGGAUAGCUGGUGCAUUUUAAUAUUAUAUAAAAUAAUCUUAUCUGGUAAAGCGAAUGAUUAGAGGCCUUAGGGUCGAAACGAUCUUAACCUAUUCUCAAACUUUAAAUGGGUAAGAACCUUAACUUUCUUGAUAUGAAGUUUCAAGGUUAUGAUAUAAUGUGCCCAGUGGGCCACUUUUGGUAAGCAGAACUGGCGCUGUGGAUGAACCAAACGUAAUGUUACGGUGCCCAAAUUAACAACUCAUGCAGAUACCAUGAAAGGCGUUGGUUGCUUAAAACAGCAGGACGGUGAUCAUGGAAGUCGAAAUCCGCUAAGGAGUGUGUAACAACUCACCUGCCGAAGCAACUAGCCCUUAAAAUGGAUGGCGCUUAAGUUGUAUACCUAUACAUUACCGCUAAAGUAGAUGAUUUAUAUUACUUGUGAUAUAAAUUUUGAAACUUUAGUGAGUAGGAAGGUACAAUGGUAUGCGUAGAAGUGUUUGGCGUAAGCCUGCAUGGAGCUGCCAUUGGUACAGAUCUUGGUGGUAGUAGCAAAUAAUCGAAUGAGACCUUGGAGGACUGAAGUGGAGAAGGGUUUCGUGUGAACAGUGGUUGAUCACGAGUUAGUCGGUCCUAAGUUCAAGGCGAAAGCCGAAAAUUUUCAAGUAAAACAAAAAUGCCUAACUAUAUAAACAAAGCGAAUUAUAAUACACUUGAAUAAUUUUGAACGAAAGGGAAUACGGUUCCAAUUCCGUAACCUGUUGAGUAUCCGUUUGUUAUUAAAUAUGGGCCUCGUGCUCAUCCUGGCAACAGGAACGACCAUAAAGAAGCCGUCGAGAGAUAUCGGAAGAGUUUUCUUUUCUGUUUUAUAGCCGUACUACCAUGGAAGUCUUUCGCAGAGAGAUAUGGUAGAUGGGCUAGAAGAGCAUGACAUAUACUGUUGUGUCGAUAUUUUCUCCUCGGACCUUGAAAAUUUAUGGUGGGGACACGCAAACUUCUCAACAGGCCGUACCAAUAUCCGCAGCUGGUCUCCAAGGUGAAGAGUCUCUAGUCGAUAGAAUAAUGUAGGUAAGGGAAGUCGGCAAAUUAGAUCCGUAACUUCGGGAUAAGGAUUGGCUCUGAAGAUUGAGAUAGUCGUCGGGCUUGAUUGGGAAACAAUAACAUGGUUUAUGUGCUCGUUCUGGGUAAAUAGAGUUUCUAGCAUUUAUGUUAGUUACUUGUUCCCCGGAUAGUUUAGUUACGUAGCCAAUUGUGGAACUUUCUUGCUAAAAUUUUUAAGAAUACUAUUUGGGUUAAACAAUUAGUUCUUAUUAAUUAUAACGAUUAUCAAUUAACAAUCAAUUCAGAACUGGCACGGACUUGGGGAAUCCGACUGUCUAAUUAAAACAAAGCAUUGUGAUGGGCCCUAGCGGGUGUUGACACAAUGUGAUUUCUGCCCAGUGCUCUGAAUGUCAAAGUGAAGAAAUUCAAGUAAGCGCGGGUCAACGGCGGGAGUAACUAUGACUCUCUUAAGGGGAUCAUGGGGUAUUGGAGAGCAGAGGGGGAGUAUUCUUCUGUAAUUCGUAAGUCAUAUCAUAUGAUGUGCGGAAGGGGAAUUUUACUCUGUAACUCACAAGUCUCUCCUUUACUCAAGUCGACUCAAAACCUCCUCGUGGUGGUCCCCGGUAAUGCUAAACUCGUUUAGCAGCUAAUUUGAGCGGCAAAACUUUUCCGAUGGGCUGGUUCCCCAGAGGAAAUUUAUUCAUAUUGGAACUACAAGCACAAAUAACGAGCCUCGGAUACCUUUACACAAUCUGAUGACGACCCGACCCUCCGUGGAUAUCUUCCCGGAGGACCAAUAUGAACCAAACGCAGCGGCUACUCUAUCUAGGGUUCCCUGCACAGUAUGUGGCCGGUCCUUUAACAGCAAGAGAGGACUCGGUGUUCACAUGCGAUCUCGGCACCCAGACGAACUUGAUGAAGAACGUCGACGUGUCGAUAUAAAGGCAAGAUGGAGUGAUGAAGAGAAGUGGAUGAUGGCGAGAAAGGAGGUUGAGCUCACAGCAAAUGGAUGUAAACACAUAAACAAGCAACUAGCGGUGUAUUUUGCAAACCGCAGCGUCGAAGCCAUCAAA